This 253-nucleotide ribosomal RNA is filed under the name uncultured bacterium. RNAcentral's name for it is "partial 16S ribosomal RNA". It matches the Rfam family "Bacterial small subunit ribosomal RNA", at positions 524 to 776 of the family's 1533-position model. The record is from RNAcentral.
UACGGAGGGUGCAAGCGUUAUCCGGAUUCACUGGGUUUAAAGGGUGCGUAGGUGGGCAAGUAAGUCAGUGGUGAAAUCUCCGGACUUAACCCGGAAACUGCCAUUGAUACUAUUUGUCUUGAAUACUGUGGAGGUCAGCGGAAUAUGUCAUGUAGCGGUGAAAUGCUUAGAUAUGACAUAGAACACCAAUUGCGAAGGCAGCUGGCUACACAAAUAUUGACACUGAGGCACGAAAGCGUGGGGAUCAAACAGG